Molecule: long non-coding RNA, 2801 nt
Organism: Sebastes umbrosus (honeycomb rockfish)
Lineage: Eukaryota; Metazoa; Chordata; Actinopteri; Perciformes; Sebastidae
Exons: 5
Source: RefSeq, a predicted model, not a curated record
GGGUCAUGGUGGUGGAACUGUAGUACCAGGACUGUUACCAUCACAGACAAGCCCACAAUCAUCAUGGUGCUAGCAAAGUACUGAGCUGCGAGAGGAGAAGAGCACAUAAGUAUAGCACAGCAAUUUCCAUUUGGAAUAGAGAACAAUGAAUAACUGUGAAUGAAAAGCUCAUGCAUACAGCACAAGAAGAAACACGAGAGGUGAGCGUAGUACUUUGGCAGGACAGGACUGUUGCCAUGUCAGUUUGUCAGUUGGUUAGUCAGUGGGGAGUUUACCCCUGUCAACAAAUCUGAGGUCAUACCACCGCGGGGGACAGUGGGAGGAUGACUAACAUUUUACUUCCAAAUGUACAAACCAACCAAAACACAUACACACGCUUGUGGGCAUUUGAAGUCACAGAAACAUGAACAUGCAUAACAUAUGCAUGUAGACAAGCACAUGACCCCGUCCACAUACACCUUAAUACACAAACAUAAGAUAUACUCCCCCAUAAAGUAAUUUAAUUUUGAUCCGGCUGUGAUUUUAGCGACCAAUCAAAUUUUUUUCAGCAUACAUUUCCAUGUCAAAAUAUAAUUGGAGCUGUGUGAAAACGUGUCAAAAUGAUCCUUGAGGAGUAUUUUAUUUAUUUAUGUCUUCAAUCCAUCAGUUCUGCUCCGCCUGCAAUGUGUUAAUACGUCUAAUCCAAUAAAGGGGAGUUUACUAAUGGCUUCGUUUUACAUCACUGAGCUGCCAAAUGACACCGAGCAGCAUCUCUGUCUGCAGGACUCCCCUCUCAUCCUCUGGUCUGUAUCAGUAUGGUCAAUGCAACUCUGUUGGUCUUCUACUGUGAGAAUAAUCUUUACUUCCUGUAUCAGCAUCCUCCCACAUCCAGCCGCUACAGGCUGCCCUGCGGUGAAUAUGAGGUGGGAAUAUCUCGUCAGUAAGUCAUUCCGCGUUUUUUUGACACCUAAUCUAUAGUUGAUGAGGAAAAGUCUCCACACUGACCCAGCAACAAUGCUGCAUGCUGUAGCGAUGUGUAGCCUGUCCAGCAUGUGCCUAUGGCUCCCUGAUUAUGGUCAGAAUCAGGUGCAAGGUGGGAAAAAAUAAAUUUAAAAAAUAUAACUUUUUUAUUUUGCAAAAGGACUGAGCCCAUCACUUUUAAAAUUAAAAAAAUCAUGAGUUUUAAUGUAGAAUACUUCCCCGGAUUCUGCAUUGUCUCAUUACAGUUUUCCAAACUGGUUAAAUGUACAGCCUUAAAGGCAGGGUGGGCAAUCUUGAAAAACUAGCAAGAGUACACUAUAUUUUUUAAAAUGAUCCAGCCAAAAAAACAAGCCCAGUGUUGCCAACUCUAUUUCAAUGAAAGUAGUUAGCAGCUCCAAAAGUCCCUAAAUCUAGUGAGAACGUUGCCAAGUCAGUAAUACUGACAGUCCGUCACUUCAGGCCUCCCUCCAAAGCUACUCCACCAAAAUUACCAUUAUCAGUUCAGUUCAGUUCAUCUUCAUUGGCAGACUCGAAGUCCAUUAAAAAAAAGCAUACAACACAAAUAACAACACAAAAAUUAAAUAGAAACUGACACUUUUUUAUAAAAGGCAGUUACAACAAUGUUUCCACAGGUGUGACUGGUAUCGUAAAACACUAAAACUAGGAUUCGACAGUAGCAUGAUAAUGGCGUUCUGAGAAUAAUUUAGCCGACAUAUAUAUUUCUACAUCCGAUUUCUCAAUAGAGGCUGGAACGUGUUGACUACUGCGUUACAGAACAGGUCACUUGCACUACACCAGCUGGGUUUUUUAAGUAAUAUCCACAUGCAGUCAUUGUAGGCAACCUGAAGCUCAUGCAUGCUCGCCUUUUUAAACUUGGCCCACGGGGGGCAGUAUAGAGAGGAGUGCAAUAGGCUCUACAGAGACUUAUCUUGACAUGAUCUGAACACAUGUAGAAUGUUCUUGCCAGCCUGUUCAUUAUGAACAUAAACAUAUUAUAAUGAAUGUAAACAACUAAUAUGGCUAUUGUUAGUACUAACAGCUGCCAAGCUAGCAGGCUGUGGAAGACUCCGUGACGCACAAUGAGUGUACGGGUAGCUCAUCCAAUCAUUACAUUCUGACAGAAUGAAAUGAUUGGAUUACAGUCCUGCGACAGCCACAGAUACCAUAAUUUGUUCUCUUUUUUUUUGUCAGAGCAUUUGAUUUAUUGAUUGCUGUCGGGAUGUAAUGAGAAUUUCAACUAACAAAAUAUGUUUCUAUAAUCUUUACCAACCCUGCCUUUAAAGGAACCUUUCAGCAUUUUGAGGGCUUAACAUUUCAUAGACUUACAAAGACGAGAGGGAAAAGGAAAGAGGCUGGAGGGAAUUAACAGAAAGAUCGGGAGUCUCUGCAGGGAGCAGGAAGACCAGCAGGGCCAGACCAGAGAUGAGCACGCAGGGAAUGAGCAGGUUGAGGCCGUAGUAAAGUGUCCUGCGUCGCAUGGUGACCGUGAAUGUCACAUCGGGGUAGGGCUCCUUACAGCAGUCGUAAUACAGCUCAUUACGCUUCGCCGGCACACCUGGGGGAGACAUGAAGAGAUCCCAUUCCCCGUUGGGUAUGUAGGUGGAGAUGUCCACGUCCAUCAUCUGGAGGUCCAGCAGCCAGCCGUUGUGGGUCCAGGAGCCAAACUUGAGGUCACACUUCUGCACAUCGAAUGGGAACCACCGCACAUCGAUGUAGCAGAUUCUGGAGGAAAGCUAGCUCGAGGAAAACGUGCAAACAACCCUUAAAGUGUUUCUGAUGCAUCACAGAGGGAUACAUCAAAUUACUGUAAAAGUCCAGAGGCACAAAAAUAAAAAAUGGAA